AGUUGGCAGUGAUGAUACAAUCUUUCAGCAUAAAAUGCCAGUUCUGCUUCUGAGAAUUCAUGACAGAUAAAGCUGAUACGCAUCUGAGCCUGGU
This 94-nucleotide small nucleolar RNA is filed under the name Dichanthelium oligosanthes. Lineage: Eukaryota; Viridiplantae; Streptophyta; Magnoliopsida; Poales; Poaceae. The record is from RNAcentral.